RNAcentral lists this ribosomal RNA (253 nucleotides) under uncultured bacterium. RNAcentral describes it as "partial 16S ribosomal RNA". It matches the Rfam family "Bacterial small subunit ribosomal RNA", at positions 524 to 776 of the family's 1533-position model. The record is from RNAcentral.
UACAGAGGGUGCAAGCGUUAAUCGGAAUUACUGGGCGUAAAGCGUGCGUAGACGGUUACAUAAGUCGGGUGUGAAAGCCCCGGGCUCAACCUGGGAAUUGCAUUCGAGACUGCGUAGCUAGGGUGCGGAAGAGGGAAGCGGAAUUUCCGGUGUAGCGGUGAAAUGCGUAGAUAUCGGAAGGAACACCAGUGGCGAAAGCGGCUUCCUGGUCCAGAACCGACGUUCAGGCACGAAAGCGUGGGGAGCAAACAGG